UCUCACUCUCUUUCUUCGUCGCCGCUACAACUCGCCGGUCUUCUGAGUUCCGCCGCAACAACUCGCCACGAGUACUAUUAGCAACAACAGUCCGAAUUUCUUCAACUGGUGGAAGCCGAACAAAUCACAGAAAUUCAAUCGAGAAAUUUCGUCUUCGUCUUCGUUGGUCUUCUACUCUUCUUCGUCUUCUUCAACAUUCAGCUUAAUAUGGCUGAUGAAGACUUCAAGGAGCAGAUUGAGCUCUCAUCAGAGGCAGAACUUGUGGUCUUGUGGUUGAGUUGUGGUCUUGUGAACUUGUGAACUUGUGGUUGUUUAACUCUAAAACAUUAAGGAUUUGGUUUGUAAUAUUUGGUUUGUAAUAUUUUUAAGUAUGAACUUGGUACUUAGUAGUUAGUAUUAUAUAUGUUAUUGCCAAGUAUGAACUUGGUUGGCUAAGUUUAUUGAAAUUUCAUUGAAUUA
Molecule: long non-coding RNA, 459 nt
Organism: Beta vulgaris subsp. vulgaris (sugar beet)
Lineage: Eukaryota; Viridiplantae; Streptophyta; Magnoliopsida; Caryophyllales; Amaranthaceae
Exons: 2
Source: RefSeq, a predicted model, not a curated record